UUAUUGCUUACGACUCGAAACGUGGCUGUGCCAGACGAUUGAUGUUGAAAAGCGUAGACUGUGAUAACUUCCUGGUCUCGGAUAAACAUCCGUCUGCGCACGCAUCACCGGAAGACGUGUGGUUUGCCAGCUCGACUGAUUUGUAUCCUAUGAAUUGUGUUUAUUGAUAAUAAACUGACUUGUGGAUGUUUUC
Molecule: long non-coding RNA, 193 nt
Organism: Haliotis rubra (blacklip abalone)
Lineage: Eukaryota; Metazoa; Mollusca; Gastropoda; Lepetellida; Haliotidae
Exons: 2
Source: RefSeq, a predicted model, not a curated record